This 32-nucleotide non-coding RNA is filed under the name Rattus norvegicus (Norway rat). The record is from RNAcentral. Lineage: Eukaryota; Metazoa; Chordata; Mammalia; Rodentia; Muridae.
AGGGUGCUGACUUUAAGACACCGUCUCAGGUU